Molecule: transfer RNA, 76 nt
Filed under: Myxococcales bacterium
Lineage: Bacteria; Pseudomonadati; Myxococcota; Myxococcia; Myxococcales
Description: tRNA-Cys
Rfam family: tRNA
About the family: Transfer RNA (tRNA) molecules are approximately 80 nucleotides in length. Their secondary structure includes four short double-helical elements and three loops (D, anti-codon, and T loops). Further hydrogen bonds mediate the characteristic L-shaped molecular structure. tRNAs have two regions of fundamental functional importance: the anti-codon, which is responsible for specific mRNA codon recognition, and the 3' end, to which the tRNAs corresponding amino acid is attached (by aminoacyl-tRNA synthetases). tRNAs cope with the degeneracy of the genetic code in two manners: having more than one tRNA (with a specific anti-codon) for a particular amino acid; and 'wobble' base-pairing, i.e. permitting non-standard base-pairing at the 3rd anti-codon position.
Source: RNAcentral
GGCGCCAUACCCAAGUGGUUAAGGGACGGGUUUGCAAAACCUGCACUCGCCGGUUCGAAUCCGGCUGGCGCCUCCA